CGUUGAUCCGUUCCAAUUGCAACUUGUUCGCGCUAUUUAUUUUUGCAUUGGUUUUCGGUUUCAUUUGUUGUUGUUGUCUUUUGUGCGUGCUUCUUGUGUUUGCUGUUGCUUUGUUGUUACAUUUAAAUGUGUGUUAGUUGCAGUGCAUUUAGUUGUUCAUUGAUUGGUUCACGCUCUAAAAACGUUUCGAAUCGGAUUGGCAGAUCCACCUGAUCGAUCGAUGGGGUUCGAUGUUUGCUAUUGAAUUUUUCCAAGUUGCGGGCUUGCUUUUCUUUUCUUUUCUUUCUUCUUUUUCUUUUUUGUAGUCGGUUGUCGGAUAA
RNAcentral lists this long non-coding RNA (320 nucleotides) under Drosophila guanche. The record is from RNAcentral. Lineage: Eukaryota; Metazoa; Arthropoda; Insecta; Diptera; Drosophilidae.